AAGCUGCGUUAAAGCGCUCAGGGAAAGCCCGCGCCCAGCAUCCAUCGGGCUGCAGACUUUGGCAAGGGGGCGAAGAAGCCCGGGUGUAAGCGCAGCAGGACUGCGUCUGAAACUCGGCAUCAGGCUGCUAAGUGAGCCCAGGGCUCGGGCUGGGGCAGCGGGCGGCCAAGCAAGCAUCCCACCCCAUUUAUUUGUCAAAAACCG
RNAcentral lists this long non-coding RNA (204 nucleotides) under Homo sapiens (human). RNAcentral describes it as "HSALNT0063244". The record is from RNAcentral. Lineage: Eukaryota; Metazoa; Chordata; Mammalia; Primates; Hominidae.